UAUUACAAAAACAAAAUUAUUCGCCAGAGUACUACCGGCAACAGCCCGAAACUCAAAGGACUUGGCGGUGCUUUAUACCCUUCUAGAGGAGCCUGUUCUAUAAUCGAUAAACCCCGAUAAACCUCACCAAUCCUUGCUAAUACAGUCUAUAUACCGCCAUCUUCAGCAAACCCUAAAAAGGAACAAAAGUAAGCUCAAUCACAGCACAUAAAAACGUUAGGUCAAGGUGUAACCCAUGGAGUGGGAAGAAAUGGGCUACAUUUUCUACCCCAAGAAAAUUUAACACGAAAGUCAUUAUGAAAUUAAUGACCAAAGGAGGAUUUAGUAGUAAACUAAGAAUAGAGUGCUUAGUUGAACUAGGCCAUGAAGCACGCACACACC
RNAcentral lists this ribosomal RNA (381 nucleotides) under Pseudois nayaur (bharal). RNAcentral's name for it is "partial 12S ribosomal RNA". It matches the Rfam family "Bacterial small subunit ribosomal RNA", at positions 848 to 1391 of the family's 1533-position model. Lineage: Eukaryota; Metazoa; Chordata; Mammalia; Artiodactyla; Bovidae. The record is from RNAcentral.